UCGAACGGCAGCACGGGUGCUUGCACCUGGUGGCGAGUGGCGAACGGGUGAGUAAUACAUCGGAACAUGUCCUGUAGUGGGGGAUAGCCCGGCGAAAGCCGGAUUAAUACCGCAUACGAUCUACGGAUGAAAGCGGGGGACCUUCGGGCCUCGCGCUAUAGGGUUGGCCGAUGGCUGAUUAGCUAGUUGGUGGGGUAAAGGCCUACCAAGGCGACGAUCAGUAGCUGGUCUGAGAGGACGACCAGCCACACUGGGACUGAGACACGGCCCAGACUCCUACGGGAGGCAGCAGUGGGGAAUUUUGGACAAUGGGCGAAAGCCUGAUCCAGCAAUGCCGCGUGUGUGAAGAAGGCCUUCGGGUUGUAAAGCACUUUUGUCCGGAAAGAAAUCCUUGGUUCUAAUACAGCCGGGGGAUGACGGUACUGGAAGAAUAAGCACCGGCUAACUACGUGCCAGCAGCCGCGGUAAUACGUAGGGUGCGAGCGUUAAUCGGAAUUACUGGGCGUAAAGCGUGCGCAGGCGGUUUGCUAAGACCGAUGUGAAAUCCCCGGGCUCAACCUGUGGAACUGCAUUGGUGACUGGCAGGCUAGAGUAUGGCAGAGGGGGGGUAG
Molecule: ribosomal RNA, 611 nt
Filed under: Burkholderia sp. 6hR5
Lineage: Bacteria; Pseudomonadati; Pseudomonadota; Betaproteobacteria; Burkholderiales; Burkholderiaceae
Description: bacterial SSU rRNA
Rfam family: Bacterial small subunit ribosomal RNA
Source: RNAcentral